CCGCCCAUAGCUCAAUUUGGCAGAGCAGUUGCCUCUUAAGCAAUUGGUCGCAGGUUCGAGUCCUGCUGGGCGGA
Molecule: transfer RNA, 74 nt
Filed under: Candidatus Portnoyibacteriota bacterium
Lineage: Bacteria; Candidatus Portnoyibacteriota
Description: Candidatus Portnoybacteria bacterium tRNA-Lys
Rfam family: tRNA
About the family: Transfer RNA (tRNA) molecules are approximately 80 nucleotides in length. Their secondary structure includes four short double-helical elements and three loops (D, anti-codon, and T loops).
Source: RNAcentral